Molecule: ribosomal RNA, 489 nt
Filed under: uncultured bacterium
Lineage: Bacteria
Description: bacterial SSU rRNA
Rfam family: Bacterial small subunit ribosomal RNA
Source: RNAcentral
GAUGAACGCUAGCGGCAGGCCUAACACAUGCAAGUCGAGGGGCAGCACAGGUAGCAAUACUGGGUGGCGACCGGCGGAUGGGUGCGUAACGCGUAUGCAACCUACCAUUGAUUGGGGCAUAGCCCGAAGAAAUUCGGAUUAAUACUCCAUAAUAUUCAUCAAAGGCAUCUUUUAUGAAUUAAAGCUUUUGCGAUCAAUGAUGGGCAUGCGUGACAUUAGUUAGUUGGUGAGGUAACGGCUCACCAAAACGAUGAUGUCUAGGGGUUCUGAGAGGAUUAUCCCCCACACUGGUACUGAGACACGGACCAGACUCCUACGGGAGGCAGCAGUGAGGAAUAUUGGUCAAUGGACGCAAGUCCUGAACCAGCCAUGCCGCGUGGCAGGAUGACGGCCCUAUGGGUUGUAAACUGGCUUUUCCACGGGAAGAACCCUCCGACGUCGUCGGAGACUGACGGUACCGUGGGAAUAAGCAUCGGCUAACUCCGUGCC